RNAcentral lists this ribosomal RNA (266 nucleotides) under uncultured bacterium. Its description in RNAcentral is "partial small subunit ribosomal RNA". It matches the Rfam family "Bacterial small subunit ribosomal RNA", at positions 26 to 285 of the family's 1533-position model. The record is from RNAcentral.
AGGACGAACGCUGGCGGCGUGCCUAACACAUGCAAGUCGAGCGGGAUCCAACCAGUAGCAAUACUGGGGAAGAUCUAGCGGCGAACGGGUGAGUAACACGUGAGAAACCUGCCCCGAAGUCUGGGAUAACCCGAGGAAACUCGAGCUAAUACCGGAUGUCCUCCUCUGGUCGCAUGGCCGGUUGAGGAAAGAUUUAUCGCUUCGGGAGGGUCUCGCGGCCUAUCAGCUAGUUGGUGGGUGAUGGCCUACCAAGGCGGUGACGGGUA